GCCUGACGCUCCUUGUUAAUGCCGGUUGCUGUUACAGACUUGCAAUUGUGCAACUCUGUGAUGUAAACAGGCAGGCUUUGUAUUUUUGCAGUGCCCCUGGAGAGUGGAGAGGGUGGUUCUCUUGGCUGUCUCUGGAACAAAUUUGGAGGAAAGGUCCUGUGAGGGUACAGUGAGAAGAUGGCCAUCUACCAGCCAGGAGGAAAGGCCUAACAAGAAACCAACUCUGCUGGCACCUUGAUCGUGAACUCCCGCCCUCUAGAACUGUGAGAAAAUAAACGUCUGUUUAAGCC
This 290-nucleotide long non-coding RNA is filed under the name Homo sapiens (human). RNAcentral's name for it is "non-protein coding lnc-IL16-13:2". Lineage: Eukaryota; Metazoa; Chordata; Mammalia; Primates; Hominidae. The record is from RNAcentral.